AUUCCUAGCACCCCCCUCACAGUGGUACAUCCCUUCAGGUAACCAUUCACAAGUCAUGUACAGUAGAGCGGGACAUUACAGUUACUCUCAGCGGAAUUCACUGGAGAAGGCACAAGUUCAUGCACUGCACUGGCCUGCACCACGAUUAUAAGGUGGAGUAAUGCAUGAAUGGAUAAAAAAGAGUGAGAGGUUAUCAGCUGUUGAGGAGCAAAUGGAGAUCCGUGUCCAGGGGAGUGAGGCUAUUGCGAGUGUGAAAGGUUGUCCAGGAAGUAACUAAGAAGACAUGAACAGAGAGGUGGUGAUCCUCAGAGGAGCGAUGAAGUAGAGCAGCCAGCACCCCAAGUAGAGCAGGCACUGUGGAAAAAUAGUUGUGACUCAACCAGACCAUUACAAAGUAUGGCCUGGAGGAUUUUCAUCUCAAGGUGCAAGAACAUUCUUAAUGACUGUACACGGCGGCUGCUGAUGGACGAUGUUGGGCCAAAUGUGCUACAGUUAGCGUUAAGGAGGUUGGAGACUAUGCAGAGAAGCCUUCAGUGGGCAAGAGGAAGACUGAUCAAUGUAACUGCAGCAGAUCAACUUCUGCGUGACUUGGCUGAAUUGAUUCAGGAGGUCGAACUGUCUACUCAGCAUGGCCAACAAGGCUGUUUUGGAUACCAGGCACCAGUGGUUUUCAACAGAGGUAGAGGUAGAUCCCUUUACCUUAUCACU
Molecule: long non-coding RNA, 708 nt
Organism: Oreochromis aureus
Lineage: Eukaryota; Metazoa; Chordata; Actinopteri; Cichliformes; Cichlidae
Exons: 5
Source: RefSeq, a predicted model, not a curated record